AGGUCUGGCCUGCCCAGUGAAUUUUUAACGGCCGCAGUAUCCUAACCGCGCGAAGGUAGCAUAAUCACUUGUUCUUUAAAUGAGGACUUGUAUCAACGGCAUCACGAGGGUUUUACUGUCUCCUCUUUCUGAUCAGUGAAAUUGAUCUUCCCGUGAAGAAGCGGGAAUAUACAUAUAAGACGAGAAGACCCCAUGGAGCUUCAAACCUGACAACAACUUAACCGUAAAACCCCUAAUAGUUAUAAAGCAAUGCUGUAAGGUUUUGGGUUGGGGUGACCACGGAGUAAAACACAACCUCCACGACGAAAAGGCCACAAUCUUUAUUUAAGAACAACAAUUCUAGAAAUUAGCACACUAACGCUCUCUGAUCCGAUAAUCGAUCAACGGACCAAGUUACCCUGGGGAUAACAGCGCAAUCUACUUCAAGAGCCCAUAUCGACAAGUAGGCUUACGACCUCGAUGUUGGAUCAGGAUAUCCCAGUGGUGCAGCCGCUACUAAAGGUUCGUUUGUUCAACGAU
Molecule: ribosomal RNA, 519 nt
Filed under: Polypedates colletti (black-spotted tree frog)
Lineage: Eukaryota; Metazoa; Chordata; Amphibia; Anura; Rhacophoridae
Description: partial 16S ribosomal RNA
Rfam family: Bacterial large subunit ribosomal RNA
Source: RNAcentral